This 419-nucleotide long non-coding RNA is filed under the name Rattus norvegicus (Norway rat). RNAcentral's name for it is "long non-coding RNA NONRATT019490". Lineage: Eukaryota; Metazoa; Chordata; Mammalia; Rodentia; Muridae. The record is from RNAcentral.
CAGAUCAUCAAUGACAGGAUCUAUCCAUAUGCAGCCAUUUCCUAUGAAGAGUGGAAUGACCCUCCUGCUGUGAAGUGGGCUAGUGUGAGCAACCCGCUCUUCCUCCCACUGAUCCCACCACAGUCGCAAGGCUUCACUGCCAUUGUCCUCACCAUCUCACUGACCCUGCAGCUGCCUCAGAGGGUCAGCUGUCCAGCUCCAGAUCCCAGGAGUCACAGCAGAGGCAUGCGAUUGUUUCACAUCUGCAGACUCUGGGGAAAUGGCAAACCUCAAACGUGCUACAGAUCCCAGUACCUCUGAGGGUUAGAACUGUGCUUGGGACCCGAGUCAUGAGCCCAAGUACACAGCAGAGCACACGCUGCCAAGAUGUGUCCUGACAGUCCCUGAACAAGUCUUUGUUUUGGCUUUUUGAUAUGGUU